UGUAAAGAGUAAAGACUGGCAAAGGCAGAAAAGAGAGAGAGAGAGAGAGAGAGAGAGAGAGGAGAGAAGAAAGAAAACAUUUUUAAAACACGGAAAAAGCUAAGAAAGAGAUACACAGGAAAGAAGAGAUCAAAACAGAGUCAAAUUUUUGAAUGCCAACCGCUCCAAUCCUCCAAUUCCACUUCAUCAAUGCCCACCAUCGCAAAAUCCCACCUUUAAAUACCUCCAUUUUUUCAAAACCCAUGUUUUAGUUUCUCAAGUUGUGAUCAUAUAUUUCCUCUAUCAAUCACCAUAUAUCCCCAAGUUUUUCCCUGUUCUUUUGGCUUUUGUACUAGCAGCAUGACGGCUUUGAACAAGAAUCAGUCAAGACGCUGCCUUUUUCUCCUCAAAAUCUGAUCCCAUGUGUUGUGACAGCUUCAGUUGAAUCCGUGUCUCUUACUUUAUCUUUGCCUGCUAAUAUAUUUCCCCUUCUGUUAUUGAUAGAAAUUUAGGGUCAUUUGAAUUCAAAAUUUUACACUAUUCUGCCUGUUUCUUCCUAGAAUCAACAAAAUUCUGUUGAUUUUGAGGAAUCACAAUCCCUUUCUAUUCAGUUCCCGUAUGUUCCUCUGAGAGUUCCUUAAUUCGUGUUAAGAAGAUUCAAUUUUGAUUCCAAGUUUCUGUCUUUUUUGUUUGUUCCCUUCAAGUUCCCAAUAGGGUCAGUCCAGAUUUCUUGCGGAAAUUGAACCAUGGGAAUUCAGAAGGAUAGGGUGAGAUUUAAUGUUGGUGGAAAAAUCUUUGACACUUCAGCCACAACCCUGGCGAAUGCUGGCCGAAAUUCUCUCUUUGGAGCUAUGUUUGAUGAGAAUUGGGACCUCCAAUCUGGUCAUUCCACCACGGAGCACUUCAUUGAUCGAAAUCCAGACUAUUUUGCAGUUCUUCUUGACCUUCUCAGGACAGGGGAAUUGUAUCUUCCGUCAAACAUGUCUGAGAAACAGUUAUACAGAGAGGCUCUGUUUUAUGGCAUUUUGGACCACGUCAGGUCUGCUAAGUGGGGUCCGUUCGAUGGAAACAGGCUCCGAUUAGCCCGGUCAGUAACUGGCCGGGCACCGGGCGAUGGGACUGCUAUCAGGGCUGGUCCAGAUGGUGGCUGUUGUGUGGCUCAUGGUAGCAUGGUUCAUGUGUAUGAUUGGAUGCUUGAAGUGCAUCCUCCUAUUAAUCUUGAUUAUCAAAGAGUCAAUGAUGCAGGUUGGAUUGAUCCUGAGAGCAUUGUAAUCAGUGCUUGUGAGAGGUUUGGUACGGGAGAUGGAGGCAUGGGAUUGUUCAGUGCAUCCACGGGGAACGAAGGUAUAAAUUUCAUGUUAGUCAUGAAAAUCAAGUUAAGAGUUACACUGCUGGUGCAUUGAGUUUUAGUCCAGAUUAUAAGUUGUUUUCUAGUUGUAAAGGUAGGAGCAAUGAGUAUGGGAUUGGUGUUUGGGACCAAGUGACGGGGAAGCAGAUUGACUUUUUCUAUGAGCCACCUGGAUGGUCACUCGGUGAAGCAGACAAACUACAAUGGUUACAUGGUAACAACUGCUUGUUGGUAGCAACUUUGUUUCCAAGAAAGGACAACUGUUACAUUGGUUUGCUGGAUUUCAGGGACAAAAGCAUGCCUUGGUCCUGGUCUGAUGUAGGGGCUCCAAUUACGGAUGAUGAAAGCGAGUUAGGGAUGCAAUAGCAAUGGAGGAGAGUAGCUCCGUAUGCGUGGUGAAUGAAUACGAGGACUUGGGGU
This 1747-nucleotide long non-coding RNA is filed under the name Coffea arabica (coffee). RNAcentral describes it as "long non-coding RNA (CARA_LNC004067)". Lineage: Eukaryota; Viridiplantae; Streptophyta; Magnoliopsida; Gentianales; Rubiaceae. The record is from RNAcentral.